UUAAAAGUCUAAUCUGCCCAAUGAUUUAAAUUAAAUGGCCGCGGUAAAUUGACCGUGCAAAGGUAGCAUAAUAAAUAGUCUUUUAAUUGGAGGCUUGAAUGAAUGAUUGAAUGAAAAAUUGACUUAAUUAACGUUAAUAAUUGAAAUUGAUUUUUAAGUAAAAAAGCUUAAAUAUAUGAGUGGGACGAGAAGACCCUAUAGAAUUUUUAAAAUUUUCUUUAAUUUAUUUUAUAUAGUUAAUUAAUUUCUUUAUUUAAUUAAUUUUUUUGUUGGGGUGAUAUUAAAAUAUAAUUAACUUUUAAUAAAAGUUUCAUAAAUAUAUGUAAUUAUUGAUCCAAAAUUUUGAUUAUAAGAAUAAAUUACCUUAGGGAUAACAGCGUAAUUAAUUUGAAGAGUUCAUAUCGAUAAAUUAGAUUGCGACCUCGAUGUUGGAUUAAGAAUAGAAAUUGGAGCAAAAUUUAUUAUUUCUGGGUCUGUUCGACCCUUAAUAU
RNAcentral lists this ribosomal RNA (491 nucleotides) under Maoricicada hamiltoni. RNAcentral's name for it is "partial large subunit ribosomal RNA". It matches the Rfam family "Bacterial large subunit ribosomal RNA", at positions 1846 to 2594 of the family's 2925-position model. The record is from RNAcentral. Lineage: Eukaryota; Metazoa; Arthropoda; Insecta; Hemiptera; Cicadidae.